This 5405-nucleotide long non-coding RNA is filed under the name Gossypium barbadense (sea-island cotton). Its description in RNAcentral is "long non-coding RNA (GBAR_LNC017530)". The record is from RNAcentral. Lineage: Eukaryota; Viridiplantae; Streptophyta; Magnoliopsida; Malvales; Malvaceae.
UAAUAUAUUAUAUUAUAUUAUAUUAUAUUAUAUUAUUAUAUUAUUAUAUAUAUAUGACAAAGAAAGAAAGAAAAGAAACAGAGAGCAAAACAAAACAAAACAGAGAAGGGAGAAAGAAAGAAACAGAGAGCAAAACGAAACAGAGAAGGAAGGAAGGAAAGAAAGAAAGAAAAGAAAAGAAAAAGGGAAAUUUGGGGUUUUAAGGUUCAAAGUAAUUUGGUAAGUCAAUUUAAUCCCCUUUUCUCUUAAUUUUGAUAUUUUUUUUGAAAUCCUAGAACAAAAUACUACUUGAUUUAAGUUGAAAUUUUGGAAGUUAGUAGAUUAUUAAGCAUGGUUCAUGUUGAAUAAAUUGUUAAAUUAGGGAUGUAUUUGAUAGAAAUUUUGAUUGGAAUUGAAUAAAGGAUUGAAUUGUAAACUAAACUAUAAGUUUUAAAUUUUAGGGAUUAAUUUGAAAUAAAUUCAGAAUUAUGAAAACAUGAUAAAAAUUAAAUAGUUAAAUAUGAGUUUAGUAAGAAAUUGGGUAGAAUAAGGGUAUGAAUUGAGAAAGAAAAAAAUAUAGGUUUAGUUAGGGGUUAAAUUGAUUUAAUUUCAAGUUAGAAGUUAGUAAAGAAUGUAAUUGUAAAAUAAAAUAUAAGUUUUGAAUUGAUAGGAAUUAAAUUGAAAGAAUCCCGAAAUUAGGGAUUUAUGGGGAAAUUGAAGAAUUAAACUGAGUUUAUAGUAAGAAUUAAGAGAGAAUAUAGAGUUAGAAUGCAAAAAAUAAAAUUAGUAUUGAUAAGGGAUUAAAUUAGAAUUUGAUGUUGCCAUAGAAGGGAAAAAUGUUCAGAAUGUUAUAAAACAUAAGAAUAAGAGAUGAAGUUUAAUUUCCGAGCCUUGGGGCAAAAAUGUAAUUAUGUAAAAGUUUAGGGGCAAAAUUGUAAUUUUGAAAAAGUUAGAGUCCAGGGCUAUUUUGAUGAAUGUGAUUAUUAAAUAAGUUAAAUUUACUAUUUUAGAUCGAGAAGUGCGAAACUCGAGGUUAGACAAAGGGAAGAAUAAAGUUGAAGACUAAGUUGGUGAAUUUGGCUAUAAUUGGUACCGAGGUAAGUUUACGGUAAAUAAAUGCAAUAUUUCAAUAUUUAUUAUUAAUGCUGUUAAUUUCCAGAAAUUAUGAAUUUAUUUUAUGAAUUUAUUUGAUGAUGAUCCAAGCAUGGAAUGAUAGAGAAUUAAAAUUUAAAAGUCCCGUUGAUACAUAAGGAUGGUACUGGAUACGAAUGUCAUGACAUUUGGGUAAAGAGAUCCCAUGUAAGACCAUGUCUGGGACAUGGCAUUGGCAUCCUUAAGAUCAUGAGAGGUCCCCUGUAAGACCAUGUCUGGGACAUGGCAUGGGCACCGAGACGAGAGGUCCCAUGUAAGACCAUGUCUGGGACAUGGCGUUGGCACCGAGAUGAGAGGUCCCCUAUAAGACCAUGUCUGGGACAUGGCAUGGGCACCAUCACGAGAACAUCCCAUGUAAGACCAUGUCUGGGACAUGGCUUUGGCAUGUUAUUAUCAGAAGAGACCCGAGUAUCCUUAUUAUUCCAAUGUAGCUCAACGGGCUUGUAUACGAAUCAUGUUCAUGAAAGUUCAGUUUAAAGCAUAAAUGGCAAGCUCAGGUAAGUUGUAAGACUUAAGAACUUAUUAUACUAUCAAUUGAUGUUCAACGAUGCAGCAAGGAUUGAGUAAGUUAUGCACACAAAUAUUCUAAGUAAACAAGUAAGAGAACUAGUAUGAGAUUAACUAAAGAGUAAACUAGAGAUAUAGACAUUGAGUUUAAUUAUUUAAGUUAAAUAUUGUUAUUUAUUUGCUAGUAAACUUACUAAGCUUUAUGCUUACUUCUUUUAUUUCUCUUUCUCUUAUAGUAUUGCAAAGCUACUUCAAGGAUCCUAAAGAAGUCGGAGAUCGUCCACACUAUCAACUACAACUGCUCGGUAUUUUAUAUCGAAACACGUUUAAGUUAUGGCAUGUAUAGGGAUUUAGUUAUUUUGUAUGUUUAUAGUGAUGAUUUUGCUAAUGAGUGAUGUGUAAGUAUUUGAUGAUGUAUGGUUAUUAAAAUGAUUAAGGAUGAAGGUGUUUGUUGUUAUGAAAGAUUAGGUGAUAAAUUAUGCAUGGAAAUCAUGAAAGGAUAAAAUUUUGCAAAGAAACAGAAUUCAGGCAGCACAGUAACGUGAAUUUGAAAAAUCACCCAAGAUAGUAUAAAAUGAAUUAGAGGGUGAAUGAUAUAUGGAAUUAAAGUUUGUUGAGUCUAUUUUCAUGGAAAAAUAACGGUGUAGAAAAAAGAAAUUUAUAUUUUAAGAUAUGUGAAUUUUAGUAAGAUAGGGUCAGAACUGUUUUUGGAGUCCCCUGUUCUGAGUUUAGAAAAUAAUUAAAAAUUGUACAAAAAUGGUUAUGAGUUGAAAUUUACAUGCUUAGAUUCCUUAAUGAGUCUAUUUUCUAUAGAAACAAGUAAGAACUUCAUAUGAAAAUCCUAUAGUGAGAAAAUUUAUUUUUAGUGACUAGAGGUCAGGGCAGUCUGGUGGUGACACAGGGGAGACUUUAACUAAUAAACUGUACUAAUUUGCUGAACCAAAAAUUCUAAAAAUUUUAUGGUGAGUAGAUAUAUGAGUCUAGUUUCAGGGAAAAUUUACGGGAUUAAAUUUCGAGUUCUGUAGCUCAAGUUAUAAUUAAUUUAGUAACUGCUGCGCGAUUAGACAGAUUUGCUGCGAAUAAUGAAAUAAAUUUUCAAACCUAGUUUUUAUGCUCCGAAUUGGUAAGAUAAGCUAAGUAAUGCCUCGUGCUCGACUCCGGAAACGGACUCGGGUAAGGGGUGUUACAUUGUUCAUGAUGCAAAUGUUGGUAAUUAUAUUUGGUCAUGUUAUAAGCUUAAUUGAGAGGUAUGAUUUAUGGUAAAUAUGUUGUGAUGUUGGUUAUAUGAUUUGGCAAUGAGAAGUGGUAAGUAGGGUAUAUAUUCGGCUUAUUAAUUAACUCACUUUGGUAGAGCAUGAAAAGUGGUAUAAUAUGGUUUGGUAAAAGGGGUCAUUUGAAUAUCUAUAAAUGACAUAUUGUUUUGAUGCUAAGAUAUGAGAUAAUAUGUUUAUCUUAUAGACUGGGUGAUGGAGAUGUUAUGAUUUAUUGAGUUAAAUUUGAUAACCGAAACGUUGUUUUUUUCAAAUUGUUGGACAUUUGAGAUAUGAAUACAUAUGCCUAUUAAAUGUUUGCUUGUAGUUCGUUUUAAAAAGGUCAAAUCGUUGAUUCAAUGAUGGUUAUAAAAUGUGUUAUAUAUAUAGGUAGUUAUAUGUUCGGCUAUGGUAUUUGACUAUUUAGGCUCGAUUUUUGAAUGACAAAGAAUGUAUAUGAUCUAAUUGAUAUGAAGGUUAAUUGAAUGAUUGAUUAUUGAAAUAUUAAUUGGUUGUGUAUAUGAAUUAUAGGCAUGAUAUUUCGCAUGCGAAUUAGGUAUGAGGUUCAUGUGUGUGGUUGAAUAUAACAUGUUAGAUAUGUUAUUUAGCUUGCAAAUUAGAUAUUUCAUGACUUGGCAUUUGUAUUCGAAAAUGGUUAAAUUUGAUUUUGUAAAAUGUACAUAAGGUUAUAAUGUUUAAAAUGCUAUGAUUUGGUAAUUGAAUUUAGAAAUGACUUUUGGUUUUAGGGUGUUAUGCACAUGGUUGGAUGAUGUUAAAAAAAAAUUAGUUGGUCAUGUAUAAAGUUACCUAACGUUUUAUGUGCAAAUAAUUAUUAAACUGCGAGAUAUGGCUAAAUUAGUUUAACAGGUGUAUGUAUAAUGUUUAUUAAAUAUUACGUUUGUUAUUUAGUUAAUGAUAUGGCUUGCAUUUUUGUAAUUUUGAAACAUGUACAAAUUGGUUUUGAUAUUUGAUGGCUUGGCUUGAAAGUUUUGAAUUAGCAAACGUAAUUGAAAUGGUUAGAUAUUGAAAUAUAAUUCGUAUAAGAGAAUGUUCGAUAAAGCAUGAUUUGUGUGGUUAGAUAUGUGAUUCGAAUAAAUGAUUUUGACUUGUAUGAAUAAGAGGUUGGUUUAUUAAUUUAUUUCGAAAAAUUUUAUAAGGGAUAAUACAUUACUGGGCCUAUGAAUUGUAAAGAAUGUCUGUUCUGAACUGUGUUUUGUUUGGUAAUACCUCGUAACCCUAGUCCGGCGACGGAUACAGGUUAAGGGGUGUUACAAAACUAGUCCCUGAAAUAUUACAACUCCUACAAAUUGGUCCAGGUAAGUUCAUACGGCUGAAAUUUUAUGAUUAAUUGUUAAUGUGGGAAUGAUAUAUUGUAUCAAUUCGUAUAUUGUUGUUGAAAUAUGAUUAUGGUAAAAUGAGAAAAAAAAUGAGAUUGUUAGUUCAAAUUAAGGGAUAUGCAAGAUUGAGUACAUACGUUCAGUAACCAGUGAUGAAUUGACGAAUAAGUCAAUGGUGGAUCCAUGGCAAAGUGUGGAACGUAGGUAUGGUAUUUCAGUAAAGAAAACUAUACUGAGUUGUGAAAAGUAGGUAUGGUAUUUCAGUAAAGAAAACCAUACUGAGUUGUGAGAAGUAGGUAUGGUAUUUCAGUAACGAAAACCAUGCUGAGUUGUGAAAAGUAGGUAUGGUAUUUCAAUGAAGAAAACCAUACUGAGUUAUAGCAUUGUAAAAGAUUCAAGCAAAUCGUGGCACUGGGCAAACGAUGUACUCAAAUCCGUAAGACGAUCCUCAAUUUGACAAGUAUUUGUAAGUGCAAUUGAAGCUAAAUAUUGGAAAUAAGUUGAUAUCUGAUAUUGAGCUCGAUUGAGCAAAUUCAUUGUUUGAGAUUGUGGUUGGCAGGAAAUGUUGAAUUAUACUUGUUUAUUAAUAUUGUUAGUGAAAUCUUGAUAAAAUUUUAUUAUGAGCCUAUGAACUUACUAAGCUUUUUGUAAGCUUACUCUUGUGUGUUUAAUGUUCUUUAUAGAUUGAUGUGAAAUCGGUGGAUCGGAUCAACACAUCAUGGCACACUAUCCAGAUUACUUCGAUAAAUUUUAUUGUGCAUGUAUGUUUAUAUGGCAUGUAUAGGGUUUAAUUGAAAGGAAGUGAAGGUGUUAUAAACUUGGUUAUUAAUAUUUUUUUUACUAAAACAGUUUUGGACAGCAGCAGUAGUUCAAUUUUGAAAAAUCACCAAAAAUAGUGAAAAUUGAAUUAGAAGCUGAAUAAGAUAUGAAAUUAAAGCUAAAUGAGUCUAUUUUCACAUGAAGAAAUAGAGUAACCAAAAGAGUUAUAUAAUUUUAGAUAUUUGAAUUUUUGUGAGACAGAGUAAGAAUGGUUUUUGAAGUCCCCUGUUUUGACUUUAGAAAAUCAUUAAAAAUUGUACAGAAAGAAUUAUGAGUUAUAUUUUAUAUGUCUAGAUUCCUUAGUGAGUUUAUUUUCAAUAGAAACAAGUAGAAGCACCAUAUGAAGUUUGUACAAUGAGAU